GACGAACGCUGGCGGCGUGCCUAAUACAUGCAAGUCGAACGCUUCUUUCCUCCCGAGUGCUUGCACUCAAUUGGAAAGAGGAGUGGCGGACGGGUGAGUAACACGUGGGUAACCUACCCAUCAGAGGGGGAUAACACUUGGAAACAGGUGCUAAUACCGCAUAACAGUUUAUGCCGCAUGGCAUAAGAGUGAAAGGCGCUUUCGGGUGUCGCUGAUGGAUGGACCCGCGGUGCAUUAGCUAGUUGGGGAGGUAACGGCUCACCAAGGCCACGAUGCAUAGCCGAGCUGGGAGGGUGAUCGGCCACACUGGGACUGAGACACGGCCCAGAGUCCUACGGGAGGCAGCAGUAGGGAAUCUUCGGCAAUGGACGGAAGUCUGACCGAGCAACGCCGCGUGAGUGAGGAAGGUUUUCGGAUCGUAAAACUCUGUUGUUAGAGAAGAACAAGGACGUUAGUAACUGAACGUCCCCUGACGGUAUCUAACCAGAAAGCCACGGCUAACUACGUGCCAGCAGCCGCCGUAA
This 524-nucleotide ribosomal RNA is filed under the name uncultured bacterium. RNAcentral's name for it is "partial 16S ribosomal RNA". It matches the Rfam family "Bacterial small subunit ribosomal RNA", at positions 28 to 523 of the family's 1533-position model. The record is from RNAcentral.